GACGAACGCUGGCGGCGUGCCUAAUACAUGCAAGUUGAGCGAUGAAGAUUGGUGCUUGCACCAAUUUGAAGAGCAGCGAACGGGUGAGUAACGCGUGGGGAAUCUGCCUUUGAGCGGGGGACAACAUUUGGAAACGAAUGCUAAUACCGCAUAACAACUUUAAACAUAAGUUUUAAGUUUGAAAGAUGCAAUUGCAUCACUCAAAGAUGAUCCCGCGUUGUAUUAGCUAGUUGGUGAGGUAAGGGCUCACCAAGGCGAUGAUACAUAGCCGACCUGAGAGGGGGGUCGGCCACAUUGGGACUGAGACACGGCCCAAACUCCUACGGGAGGCAGCAGUAGGGGAUCUUCGGCAAUGGACGGAAGUCUGACCGAGCAACGCCGCGUGAGUGAAGAAGGUUUUCGGAUCGUAAAACUCUGUUGGUAGAGAAGAACGUUGGUGAGAGUGGAAAGCUCAUCAAGUGACGGUAACUACCCAGAAAGGGACGGCUAACUACGUG
RNAcentral lists this ribosomal RNA (497 nucleotides) under uncultured bacterium. Its description in RNAcentral is "partial 16S ribosomal RNA". It matches the Rfam family "Bacterial small subunit ribosomal RNA", at positions 28 to 507 of the family's 1533-position model. The record is from RNAcentral.